UACUCUAGUGUUUUGUAUUCAUCAAAAUCCAUUAGAGGGUCAACAAAAUCUAAGUCAAUACACACGUGAUAUAUAUUUUUCUCAAGCAUGGCAACUAUCAAAGCAAAGAGGAUACUAAAGUGCAGUAUGCAUAAACAUAAUGACUUUCUUAGAGCACUAAUACCUCCACUACAAUAUGGUACCGCUUGAAUUUUAGGUGCACUACUCAAGUUCAUAAGUGUUUACUACAGUUUAUUAGAGCCUGAUCCAUCAAAUUUUCAGAAUAUCUCAUAUUGUCUAAAUUUGUCAAGAAUGGUUCGCAUAUAAAGGAGUUAUCAAUCCCAACUAAACAUCCAAAGUACACAGAGUUCCAAAUUAAUGGAGUCAAACCAGCCAUUACCACAUGUCACUGGGUUCAGUCCGACCAACCCUAUUCAUGCUUAUUUUUAUUUUUAAACGCAUAUGACGAUUACAAUUAUCCAACCCCCUUAGGCUCUAGUAAGGUCCAUAUAGCGAGUUUUUGGCUAAUGACUCCUGAUCCAAUCGGCUCAAGGCAUUAGGUGAAACACCCCUCGGGCUUAAUUACUCGAACCAGACUACGCCACGAGGUCAGACUUGUCAUCUCUUUUUUCUAUUAUUACUAUUAUUAUUAUUAUUUAUAUUUUUUUAUUUUUUUAUGCAAUAAAAAGAGAAGGUAAACUGAACCAUAUAAUGUGACUGCAUCGUGACUAUAGGUCAACCAAGGUCGGAACAUAAGGCACUUAGGUGAUCUAGCCGGGGUAUUCAACCUCUAUCUUUAUGUGAAAACUAAAUCAUGAACCUUAUAGUAUGGACAAGGAUACUCGUACUUCUUUUACAGAUACGGCUUAAUAAAAAUGCAUUAAACAAAUGUGAACUCUUGAGGCCUUCUUAUAAUCAUUAAGUACAUAUGCGGAGAUCUAAUAAUAGGUCUCUGAUCAGUCAUAGUAUGCAUGUGUUCCUUGCCUUAAUAGUUGCACAAACUCAAUA
This 987-nucleotide long non-coding RNA is filed under the name Phoenix dactylifera (date palm). RNAcentral describes it as "long non-coding RNA (PDAC_LNC009455)". The record is from RNAcentral. Lineage: Eukaryota; Viridiplantae; Streptophyta; Magnoliopsida; Arecales; Arecaceae.